ACCCAGCUGACGAGUCUGAAAUAGGACGAAACGCGCGUCCUGGAU
Non-coding RNA from Schistosoma rodhaini, 45 nucleotides. Lineage: Eukaryota; Metazoa; Platyhelminthes; Trematoda; Strigeidida; Schistosomatidae. The record is from Rfam.